Molecule: long non-coding RNA, 1101 nt
Organism: Stegodyphus dumicola
Lineage: Eukaryota; Metazoa; Arthropoda; Arachnida; Araneae; Eresidae
Source: RefSeq, a predicted model, not a curated record
CAUCCAUAAAAUUUUGUCUUGCUUCCGAACUUCUGCCCAAAUCAGGGUCAUCAGGUAUAAACUGGCUCUUAGAUUCCGUUACUAAACAUGUAGCCUUCUUGCGCGUUUCAGAAUUUUUUUUUUUUUUUUUUUUUUCAGAAUCACUCAUCUUUUUGAGCUUCUUGAAUUUCUCGUUCCACCAGUUCUGAAAGGACGUCGUUGGUAUGGCUUUCAUCAGACAGCUGCAAUAACAACUCAAGUUGUCAAUCAACUGCUCUCCAGUGUUCAAUUGUUCAUUCGCACAAAAUUUUUCAGUAGUUCCAUCCGUUCAGUUACUGAGUUAUUGUAACUGAAAUUCUUUUUGGUACUAUACAUCCUAUAUAUAUAAGUACUUUUACGGUGUUUAUUUCGACAACCUUUCGUCAAAAUCAUAUACUGAGUUAUCGAAGUGUUUUAAGUUAUGUAAAUAUUUAGAUUUUGCACUUUUUUAAUUAAAAAAAAAUCAAGACAUAAACGAUAACAAAGACAAGAAGACAUAAACGAUAACAAAGAAAGUACCCGUUCUUAAUGAAACCAUCACAUGUUGCCGUGUUAGUUCUAUACUAUUCUGCAGUUUUAUUUGAGCUUGGUAAAAUACUGCACGAUGUACGCAAUAUGUUCAGUUGCACGAUGUACGUAAUAUGUUCAGUCGCCUAAUUUGCAUAUUCCAUGCGUUAUACCGCAGAAAUCCAAUUUUUGUUGAGUUGUGGAUAAUUAAUAUAAAUAAUUACAAAAUUGAAUAUUCAUUGAAAACUUCAGUCUGCGAGUAUAUUUUUUUACACAAUUCUUUAAUUCUAAGAAGCAGGAAUAAAGAAAACUCUAUGCAAAGUAGACAAGACUUGUGAUGAACCGCUAAUUUACGUGAUCUUAUACUCUAGGGACACUUUUGAAUUGGUUAAAGGAAAGCCUCAUGAAUUGGAGACAAAGGGUUUCUACGUCAAGGACUUCAGUCAACAUAUUUCUCGACAGUCUUUUUACAGUAAUACAAUGCAUAACAACAUACGACUUUUCUCUCGAAACGAAUUGUUAUUUUAAAAAUUCACUUUAAUUGUAGUAGUAUUUAAAUAAAUAAGUUAAUGUGAA